AAUGAACGUUGGCGGCGUGGAUUAGGCAUGCAAGUCGGACGAGAACCCUCCUUCGGGAGGGGACAGUGGCAAACGGGUAGUAAGGCGUAGGUGACGUACCCUCCGGACCGGGAUAGCCAGGGGAAACUCUGGGUAAGUACCGGAUGAUCUCCUCGGGCAUGAUCGCUCGGGGAGGCAAAGGUGUGAUUCCACCGGGGGAGCGGCUUUACGUAGGUAUUAGCUGGUUGGUGAGGUAACGGCUCACCAAGGCUGCGAUGCUUA
RNAcentral lists this ribosomal RNA (261 nucleotides) under uncultured bacterium. RNAcentral describes it as "partial 16S ribosomal RNA". It matches the Rfam family "Bacterial small subunit ribosomal RNA", at positions 29 to 285 of the family's 1533-position model. The record is from RNAcentral.